ACCAUUUCAAUCAUUUUGAGUGUAUAGUUCAUUGAUGUUAAGUAUGUUUACAUUGUUGUGCCACCAUCAUCACCAUCCAUCUCCAGAACUCUUUCAUCUUCCUAAAUAGAAACUCUGCACCCAUUCAACCCUUAACUCCCCAUUUCCCUCCACUCCCUCCAGCCCCUGGUAACAACCAUUCUACGUUCUAACUGUUUUAUUUUUAAAUUUAGACAUAUAGUUGAUACUCAGAAGCUUAACAUUCCUUAUAUGAAAGUCUUCACCAAGCUACUUGGCGUGAGCAUCUUAUUUGCCCUUUAAGCCUUACCCUGGGAAUAAAAUAUAGCCUUUAUCACUGUUUUUGGAAUAUCUUGGAAGUGCGUAAAACUGCUUCAGUUUAUUAUGUAGAAGUGCAUUUCCAGAUUUCUGGAGUGUGGAUCGAAGAUUUUCAUACCAGCAGUAGGGUCUCAACCUUGUUUUUCUUAUCUCUUGGCAAGAAAGCAAAGCUGGCCAUUGGGGUAUAAUAAACCUUGUGUACACAGCUGCAGGAGGGAACAGGGAGGUGGCUGUGCUUGGAGGCCGGGUGUUUUGCCGACGAUAAUGGGGCAUCUCUGGCACCAUGUUGCUGGUCGGAACAGUUUUGGAGUUGGAUUUUGUCCUGCAGUGAUGUCUUUGAAGAGGAAAGCACUUUUGAAUAUUUGCAUUGCUUUGAAGCCAGUGCCAUGGAGAUAUUGUGACUUAUUGCCAGUCAGAGGCAAAGCUGAGUGUGUGAGGUUUUGAACAAAGGUUGUUGAAAAAAGGAGAUAAUCAUUAAUUUUUUCAGUAAAAUUCAUUGAACCCCAAGGGCAAUUUGGAGGGGUCAUAGCUGUUUUUAGAAUCUGUUGCUAAUCACUGUAUAUCGUAGAUAUUAAGCCUAGGUUAAGAGCAUUAGUGUGGGUACAGAGUUUAGAUUUGCCAGUUUGUGACUUUAGGCAUGUUUAACCUUUCUAAGUCUGUUUUUCCAUCUGAAGAAUGGACAUAGAGAAAAUUUAUCACUGGGCUUUUUGUGGGGGACAGAUGAGGUAAGGCAUAAUGCAUUUAAAGUGGCAGGCACAGUCUAAAUACUACCUAGUGCUCCUGCACAGGCAUAGAAAAUGGAAAAUUGUUUAUAUAUUUUACCCUCCUCCAAAACACUCUUAGACCAUCUGAUUUUUAUUUGACUUAUCUGAAUCCUGAAUAGUUUUUACUGGAUCAUACUCUGGUAUCUGGACUGUCCCUGGUUUGAAGGUGGUGCUGCUGGGUGAGAAGCCAAGGAUGAGAGAGGCUGUGUUUUGGAGGCCCAGUCUGUCAAAACUGAGGUGGCAUUUCUAGUUCCUGAUAGAGUGAGACAGAUGCAAAGGUCAUGGGAGCUUUGAACAGUUUCUAUGCAUUAUGUGUUGUUUUUCAUCUUCUGGAAGUGGGCUGGAAUUUGUUUUCAGCAGCUAAGUUCAUUAUGUAGUUGCCUCUAAGCCAUGCCUCCCCUUUUCCAUGUUUGUGAAAAGCAAAACAAAACCACCAGGCACAUUAUCUUUUACGAGGACCUGGAGAUUGACUAGCUGACACCCCCAGAUUUCACAUUUAUGUUGAGAUAAGGAGAAUAAUGUAAGUCACCCAGACUUUUUGUCAUUCUGCAUUUUUAUUCACAGGGAUGAACAGAAGCUUGCAGAUUGGGAGAAAGGGGGGGGCAGAACCAGUUGUUUUCAGGUGGACCCAAAUAAUGCAUCUGCUUUGAUAACUGCCUAUCUCGAUUUGCUUGGAAAGGGCAUAGAGUAAUAAAUAGUUUGUGGGAGUGUGAAGAAUGAGCCUUUAGACUGACCCAACUUGUGGAAAUUCAGAAAAUGCAGAAAUGUACGUUCUUCCAGCUUGUGAAUGUUGAACAAUGGAAUUGUUAGAAGAACUUUUGAAACUUGUUCUUUUUUUGAAAGUAUUAUUGUGCUCGGUUGGCUACAUGUGCUUUGGUCUCAAAAAUUUGUGCCUUAAUCACAUUGCUGGGGAGGCUGUGGAUUUCACUAUCAACAGAAAGUAAUGUAAGAUGUGAUAUCUUUUCAGCAGGACCUAAGGAGAUUUUCUCGAAAGAAAAGGGGAAAAUGCCGCUCUUAAGCAAAAAAUCUGGACCAUGUUGGCAGACAUACGUCUUUGAAACAUACCAGCAGAGAAUUAUUUAAUCAUUUGCCCCUUAGUUUUAUCUUGAUCACUCCUAGCGUGAUUUUUUCCCCCUCUUAGUUAUGCAGCAGCCUACUGGCUGACAUUUAACUAUUGAUUGUUCAUCCUGGGGAAUGAAUUACUGUGAUUUAUAGUCAAGGGUACAGAUGUAAAGAGACAGAAAGGAUCAGAUGUUUCUAGUGCCUUUUUUCUUCCUCUGAUGGCUUCUCCCAGAAACUUGAUAAAAGCACCAACACUAAAACAUGUUUACAAUAAGAAAGCUGUUUAUUCAUCUUAAGUAGAAAAUUCUAUAAGUUUAUGUAAAAUUUUGCCCAUGUGGGAACAAUUAGUCUUUUAAUUUGAGUUGUGUAUUGUAAUUCCAUGGAUGGAGAUGGGUGGAGGUUGGGCCGAGGGGAAGCUGAGGAGGCAGUGGUUACCAGCAUUAGCUCCUGCAGAGCCAAGAGAAUUGAGUCAUUUUGCUGGGCUUAGCAACAAGAACUUUCAGGGACUUCAUGGCAGCGUGAC
Molecule: long non-coding RNA, 2664 nt
Filed under: Homo sapiens (human)
Lineage: Eukaryota; Metazoa; Chordata; Mammalia; Primates; Hominidae
Description: HSALNT0350821
Source: RNAcentral